UAGCCGUAAACGAUACUCGCUAGGUGUCGGCCACGGUGCGACCGUUGUCGGUGCCGUAGGGAAGCCGUGAAGCGAGCCACCUGGGAAGUACGGCCGCAAGGCUGAAACUUAAAGGAAUUGGCGGGGGAGCACAACAACGGGUGGAGCUUGCGGUUUAAUUGGAUUCAACGCCGGAAAUCUUAUCGGGACCGACAGCAACAUGAAGGCCAAGCUGAAGACUUUGCCGGAUUAGCUGAGAGGUGGUGCAUGGCGUAGUCGUGU
This 261-nucleotide ribosomal RNA is filed under the name uncultured archaeon. RNAcentral describes it as "partial 16S ribosomal RNA". It matches the Rfam family "Archaeal small subunit ribosomal RNA", at positions 748 to 1009 of the family's 1478-position model. The record is from RNAcentral.